AGGAUUUAAAAAAUGUCAACAACAAUCACUGACAUUUAAAUAAGACGUUUGCCGUAGGAUUGGAUAUGAAAAACUAUUUAUUAUUUGACUAUGAUUGAUAAUAACAAAAAAGUAAAUAUGAAAACAGUUCCUUCGAGAACAUGCGAUAAGUUUAAUGAGCAAUGACGCCCGUUCGAUUAAAAAAUUUGAACCUGCACACAAUUAUUAAUUGUCUAGACCAUCAUAAAUUAUAUGACAUCGAUCGUGGUUGGCAUUGUCUACAAAACAUUCAUCUCUCAUACAUGGUUCGAUAAAUAAAAGUGUCAAGCAUUAGAUCAACAUCUAACAUCUUGACGCAAAUACAUCGACGAGUGACCUUCGUGUUAAAUUCAUCUUCCUUAGAACUACCGCAGACCGUACAAGGUUCUUGACGACAUCAUUCGCAAUCCAAAUGCUAAAUAAUUUUAUCUUCUAGACGUAUUCAUAUACCAAUUAAUUACCUAUCGUCAUAAUAUAUUAAAUCAAGCCGAACAUCUCAAUUUGACUUUGAGAAUUUGCGUAAUUAAAGUUGGAGUCAACGGAUGCUUUAAUUUUUUUCCAACUCGAUUACGGUCAUAUUGAAGCAAUGCCAGGCAUGUAUACAUGAUACAUACAUACAUACAUAUAGUGGCGAUAUGACGGAUACCUGCGUGCGUAAUUAUUAUAUACAUGAGUAACGUAAGAUAAAACCACAUAUGUAUUCAAAAUUAUGCAGAGAGUAAAAAUGAAUGAAACUACUUUUAGAAUAUUUUACUUAUAUAUACACUGAGCUAUAUUUUGACUCACAAGUGAUUUUUAUUUGAUUUUUACCUCAGAUGGGUUUUAUGUUUACAAAAAAAUGAAAUCUAAUUACAACAAAACUACAAAAAAAUGGUGGGUAAAUAUGUCUGGAGUAAAUAUACCACAAAACACAAAAGUAACGCAUUAUUUAAUAAUUGGUUAGCUGAGUGAAUAACAAAUGAAGUUGAAUUUGAAGUAAAAUUACAGCGACUUGUGAGAAUGACGAUCGAUAUCUUUCAUUCUAGCGUGACAAUCGAUCCACUUAUAU
Cotesia glomerata is the source of this 1066-nucleotide long non-coding RNA. RefSeq lists it as uncharacterized. The transcript is spliced from 3 exons. The record is from RefSeq and is a predicted model, not a curated record. NCBI's taxonomy places the organism in Eukaryota, Metazoa, Arthropoda, Insecta, Hymenoptera, Braconidae.